This 480-nucleotide ribosomal RNA is filed under the name Isospora sp. ex Myodes glareolus. RNAcentral's name for it is "SSU rRNA". It matches the Rfam family "Eukaryotic small subunit ribosomal RNA", at positions 200 to 679 of the family's 1831-position model. The record is from RNAcentral. Lineage: Eukaryota; Apicomplexa; Conoidasida; Eucoccidiorida; Eimeriidae.
GGGCUGUGUUUAUUAGAUACAAAACCAACCCACUUUGUGGAGCCYUGGUGAUUCAUAGUAACCGAACGGAUCGCAUUUGGCUUCGGCCCGCGAURGAUCWUUCAAGUUUCUGACCUAUCAGCUUUCGACGGUAGGGUAUUGGCCUACCGUGGCAGUGACGGGUAACGGGGAAUUAGGGUUCGAUUCCGGAGAGGGAGCCUGAGAAACGGCUACCACAUCUAAGGAAGGCAGCAGGCGCGCAAAUUACCCAAUGAAAACAGUUUCGAGGUAGUGACGAGAAAUAACAAUACAGGGCAUUUUAUGCUCUGUAAUUGGAAUGAUGGGAAUGUAAAACCCUUUCAGAGUAACAAUUGGAGGGCAAGUCUGGUGCCAGCAGCCGCGGUAAUUCCAGCUCCAAUAGUGUAUAUUAGAGUUGUUGCAGUUAAAAAGCUCGUAGUUGGAUUUCUGUCGUGGUCAUCYGGYWCCGCCCGUAUGGGUGUG